GGGGGGGGGGGGGGGGGGGGGGGGGGGGGGGGGGGGGGGGGGGGGGGGGGGGGGGGGGGGGGGUGGGGGGGGGGCGGGCGGGGGGGUGACGCGUGGGGGGCGUGCGCUGGGGUUUGGGGGGACUGCGGGGGGCGGGGGGUAGUGCCGGGUAGGAGCUCCUGCUGCCUGGUGUGGGUUGGAAAGGUUCGGCGGUUGGGGAUGGACUCGCGGGUUGUCAGCUGGUUGGUGGGGUAGUGGCUUACCAAGGCUUUGACGGGUAGCCGGCCUGAGAGGGUGACCGGCCACAUUGGGACUGAGAUACGGCCCAGACUCCUACGGGAGGCAGCAGUGGGGAAUAUUGCACAAUGGGCGGAAGCCUGAUGCAGCAACGCCGCGUGCGGGAUGACGGCCUUCGGGUUGUAAACCGCUUUCGCCUGUGACGAAGCGUGAGUGACGGUAAUGGGUAAAGAAGCACCGGCUAACUACGUG
This 468-nucleotide ribosomal RNA is filed under the name uncultured bacterium. RNAcentral's name for it is "partial 16S ribosomal RNA". The stretch from base 63 to 468 matches the Rfam family "Bacterial small subunit ribosomal RNA", at positions 39 to 507 of the family's 1533-position model. The record is from RNAcentral.